AGUUUUACCCUACUGACAAAGUAGAUACUGCGACAGUAGUCGAAGUUAGUACGAGAGGAACACUUCGUCCAGAUACUUGGUUAAUGCCGUUGUCUGAAAAGACAGUACGGCGAAGCUACCAUCUGCUGGAUUACGGCUGAACGCCUCUAAGCCGGAAUCCAUGCUGGAUAAGCAGUGUUGUACACCGUGCUCAAUGCUACAAGAAAAAGGCUAGGUCAGGCUUCGGCCUGACCAAAAUUCAAGCUGCUAUACCUCUGGCUGCAUUGACUUGUGGUCAGAGUGUAUGGUGAUCAUAGCAAUUGCAAGUAUUGGGCUCGAUAAAUCCUUUGAAGACGACUUAAUUGCAUCCGGGUAUUGUAAGUGUUGAGAGUAGGCUUAGUCUUACGAUCCACUGAGAUUCAUCCCGUGUUGCGCCGAUUUGU
This 422-nucleotide non-coding RNA is filed under the name Perkinsus marinus ATCC 50983. RNAcentral describes it as "Eukaryotic large subunit ribosomal RNA". It matches the Rfam family "Eukaryotic large subunit ribosomal RNA", at positions 2985 to 3401 of the family's 3401-position model. Lineage: Eukaryota; Perkinsozoa; Perkinsida; Perkinsidae. The record is from Rfam by way of RNAcentral.